RNAcentral lists this ribosomal RNA (472 nucleotides) under uncultured bacterium. RNAcentral's name for it is "bacterial SSU rRNA". It matches the Rfam family "Bacterial small subunit ribosomal RNA", at positions 28 to 513 of the family's 1533-position model. The record is from RNAcentral.
GACGAACGCUGGCGGCGCGCCUAACACAUGCAAGUCGAACGGAGCUUAGAGAGCUUGCUUUUUAAGCUUAGUGGCGAACGGGUGAGUAACGCGUGAGUAACCUGCCCUAGAGUGGGGGACAACAGUUGGAAACGACUGCUAAUACCGCAUAAGCCCACGGUACCGCAUGGUACUGAGGGAAAAGGAUUUAUUCGCUUUAGGAUGGACUCGCGUCCAAUUAGCUAGUUGGUGAGGUAACGGCCCACCAAGGCGACGAUUGGUAGCCGGACUGAGAGGUUGAACGGCCACAUUGGGACUGAGACACGGCCCAGACUCCUACGGGAGGCAGCAGUGGGGAAUAUUGGGCAAUGGGCGCAAGCCUGACCCAGCAACGCCGCGUGAAGGAAGAAAGGCUUUCGGGUUGUAAACUUCUUUAAGAGGAAGAGCAGAAGACGGUAGCCAAAGAGGAAGCCACGGCUAAUACGUGCCAGCA